CAGAUGUAGCUUAAAUCCAUGUUGCUGUGACUGUGGUGUAGGCCGGCAGCUGCAACGCCAAUUCAACCUCUGGCCAGGGAACCUCCAUAUGCCANGGCACCCAAAAAAAAAAAAAAAAAAAAAAAAAAAAAAUUGGAGUUCCUGUUGUGGUGCAGCGGAAACGAACCCAACUAGGAACCAUGAGGGUGGGGGUUCGAUCCCUGACCUCGCUCCAUGGGUUAAGGAUCCAGCAUUGCCAGGAGCUGUGGUGUGGGUUGCAGAUGCGGCUCAGAUCUGGCGUUGCUGUGGCUGUAGGCCAGCAGCUGUAGCUCCAAUUUGACCCCUAGCCUAGGAAUCUCCACAUGCCUCGGAUACGGCCCUAAAAAAGAAAAGAAAAAAAAAACUGAGAUAUACUGUCAUUGCAAAACACUCCACAGAUUUCAAGAAGUUAGUGCAAAAAAGUUUUUAAUGACUUAUUCAGUAUUUUAUAUUGAUUAAUUUCACCUGUUGUAUUAUUUUUGAUUUCUCGUGAAAGCCGUCACUAGACCAUGUCGUUACAUAUAUGGCUUGAAUUUGUAGCUUUGAUGUUUGUGAGAUUUUCUAGAGUCUGUCUUAGUGAAUGAAUGAUCUUUGGUCAAAACUGGAACCAUUAAUCACGUACUGUUUUCUAUCCUUUCUUUCUCAAACAAGUUAUUUCUUAAAUAGGUAAUUAAAUAUCUUAGUUGAAGAGUUUAUAGAUACCAUUUUCAGCAAUGAAUUAAAGUGGGAGUUAAUUACAAUUUUUCCACCCUGGCAUUAAAAUGCCAUUUAUAUUUCUAGAAAGGAGCCACCUUCUCCUGACUGUGAAAUGCUCUGUUGUCACUGCAGGUGACACCCCAUGGGUCCUCACUACGCCCCAGCCUCUACUCUUUGCUCGUUACAGAGUCCUGGUGGCCCCCACGCAGGCAGGCAAGCCAGCCUUGCCCAUUUUCACACUGCCCGGAUUCCCAGGUGGCUGGGUCAGAGGGCAUCUGCCUCCGGUGCUGCCGCAAAGGCUGUGCCUACUGGUACCCACCAGCCUGAUGUAAAGGGGUCCACUCACCCCCAACUCUUGCCGGCUCAGGGUGUCAUUGCCUUGUUCAUUGUUGUCAGACCAAUGACCCAGUUCGCUUUGGUUUUGACUGCGAGGUUUCUUUUUUAAAAUUGUGGUAGAAUACCCAAAACAUAAAAUGUGCCCUCGUAGGCAUUCCCGUUGGGGCUCAGUGGGUUAAGAACCCAGCUAGUAUCCAAGAGGAUGCAGGCUCCACCCCUGGCCGCGAUCAGUGGGUUGAGGAUCCCGCGUGGCUGCUGGCGGCGGCGUGGCUCUCAGAUGCGAGGCUGAUCUGGCCUUGCUGUGGCUGUGGUGCAGGCCUGCAGGGGUGGCCCUACAAA
RNAcentral lists this long non-coding RNA (1389 nucleotides) under Sus scrofa (pig). Its description in RNAcentral is "lncRNA (ENSSSCG00015032477.1)". Lineage: Eukaryota; Metazoa; Chordata; Mammalia; Artiodactyla; Suidae. The record is from RNAcentral.